Molecule: ribosomal RNA, 253 nt
Filed under: uncultured bacterium
Lineage: Bacteria
Description: partial 16S ribosomal RNA
Rfam family: Bacterial small subunit ribosomal RNA
Source: RNAcentral
UACGUAGGGGGCUAGCGUUGUCCGGAAUCAUUGGGCGUAAAGCGCGUGUAGGCGGCUCGGUAAGUCUGCUGUGAAAGUCCAGGGCUCAACCCUGGGAUGCCGGUGGAUACUGUCGAGCUCGAGUCCGGAAGAGGCGAGUGGAAUUCCUGGUGUAGCGGUGAAAUUCGCAGAUAUCAGGAGGAACACCAAUGGCGAAGGCAGCUCGCUGGGACGUGACUGACGCUGAGACGCGAAAGCGUGGGGAGCAAACAGG